GCCAGAAGGAAUUCUCUUAUCUUUUUCUGUCCCAGGGUCCCCAGUUCACCUUCUCCCAGGAUGACUUCCUGACUUCCAUCCUGCCAUCCCUCAAGGAAAUUGACACCAUGGUCUUCAUUUUUAUCCUGGAUGAUAACCUCACAGAAGUACAGGCCCUGGUUGAAAGGAUGAGGGAGAAGAGCCGGAACAUCGAGGCCCUGGUGCACAGCACUGUGGGGCAGUCCUUGCCAGCCUCUCUAAAGAAACUUUUUUCCUCGCUCAUCAGCAUCACAUGGCUACUUCUUUUCUUCGAUUACGAAGGGAGAGCUACGUUCAGGUAGGUGGGGAUGAGAAGGCAAUGUUUUCUAAGAAGGAGAGGAGUCCAA
Grammomys surdaster is the source of this 365-nucleotide long non-coding RNA. RefSeq lists it as uncharacterized. The record is from RefSeq and is a predicted model, not a curated record. The transcript is spliced from 3 exons. Lineage: Eukaryota; Metazoa; Chordata; Mammalia; Rodentia; Muridae.